AGAGUUUGAUUAUGGCUCAGAUUGAACGCUGGCGGCAGGCUUAACACAUGCAAGUCGAGCGGGGAUAGGGUGCUUGCACCUGAUUCCUAGCGGCGGACGGGUGAGUAAUGCUUAGGAAUCUGCCUAUUAGUGGGGGACAACGUUCCGAAAGGGACGCUAAUACCGCAUACGUCCUACGGGAGAAAGCAGGGGAUCUUCGGACCUUGCGCUAAUAGAUGAGCCUAAGUCGGAUUAGCUAGUUGGUGGGGUAAAGGCCUACCAAGGCGACGAUCUGUAGCGGGUCUGAGAGGAUGAUCCGCCACACUGGGACUGAGACACGGCCCAGACUCCUACGGGAGGCAGCAGUGGGGAAUAUUGGACAAUGGGGGCAACCCUGAUCCAGCCAUGCCGCGUGUGUGAAGAAGGCCUUUUGGUUGUAAAGCACUUUAAGCGAGGAGGAGGCUUACCUGGUUAAUACCCGGGAUAAGUGGACGUUACUCGCAGAAUAAGCACCGGCUAACUCUGUGCCAGCCGCGGC
This 517-nucleotide ribosomal RNA is filed under the name uncultured bacterium. Its description in RNAcentral is "bacterial SSU rRNA". It matches the Rfam family "Bacterial small subunit ribosomal RNA", at positions 8 to 518 of the family's 1533-position model. The record is from RNAcentral.